Long non-coding RNA from Gymnogyps californianus (California condor), 729 nucleotides. RefSeq lists it as uncharacterized. Lineage: Eukaryota; Metazoa; Chordata; Aves; Accipitriformes; Cathartidae. The transcript is spliced from 3 exons. The record is from RefSeq and is a predicted model, not a curated record.
UAACGAGUGACUGGACUCAACGUGCGGCCAGGUUUCUGCCCCGUGAGGACUGGUACUGGCUCUUUCAAAAAGGCAAGGACUGGCAGUGACUGUCUUCAAUAUUCCCAUGACCGGAGCUUUUCCUGGCACUAAGGUCUGGAGCCAAGCCUCGCAGAAAGUCUUGGUGAUGGGGCUUUAGCUAGACAUCUUUCUUCUCUGCCUUUCCUCAGAUGCAGCGGUCCUUGAGUUGCAAACCUGAGCAGAACAGCGCUCAUCCCAACCAGCUCGGCUCGCUGAUGGAGGUGUUCAGAUGGGAAGAGUCACUGGCAAAUGGCAAACCACGCUGCCAGAAGGGAAGGGGGUGCCCAGAGUUGGACUGGAGACACCGUAAAGGCAGCGCUGUCUGUGCACCUCUGAGGUGGCAGGGAGCUGUGAGCUCCUCGCUCCGUACCUGGAAAAUGAGCGUGUGCUGCCCCGAGGCCAGAUGAAGGUGGUUGUGGAAACAGGAAAACAAACUAAAGCCGGACUGCUUUCACUGCUGGGCAACAUUUUUUCCACCUCAACUCUUUCUGCUAUCACAUUGCGAUCUUACAGGUACGUUUUCCCCAUGUGCGUUUUUGGGGAGGAUUAAAGAGAACUGAUUCUUUAAAUAUGGCAAAGCUGUAAAAGCAACUCGCUGAGUUUUGCUUUGCUCUUUUUCUCUUUUAGCUGCCAAGUCAUGUUAACCCCUGAUAAAUUUGCUUUUAUUUC